Molecule: long non-coding RNA, 4768 nt
Filed under: Ananas comosus (pineapple)
Lineage: Eukaryota; Viridiplantae; Streptophyta; Magnoliopsida; Poales; Bromeliaceae
Description: long non-coding RNA (ACOM_LNC010203)
Source: RNAcentral
UCCGGCUACUAUACUCUUAUGAGUACGAUUGCCCUCGUACUCAUAAUGUUUUCGAUGAUAGAGUCUUCGAAUCGAUGAAUCCAUACCGUUAAACAUUAUUAGAGCAUUUAAAACUUCUAGAAAUCAAAUUUCAUAAUUUUCGACCUCAUUUACCUUAGCGAUCAAAGGCUCACAAAAUGACAAUUUUAAAACGGCCGGUAUGGGAUACUCGCCUAGUUUAACGGUGUAAAAGAAUUGAAUAGGUGAAUUUUUGAUAAAAAAUUUUAUUCACUACCUAGAUAAAGAUACAAUAACUCCGAUUAAGCUGAAGCACAUCCGAUCAUUCAUUUUUAAGACGUCGUUCGAUUUUGACCGUUCAUUUUUAUGCCCGUUUUGAUUGACUUUAUUAUGAUUCGAAAAUUACAAAAUUUAUAUUUUAGAAGUUUCAAAUACUCUAGAUCAUAUUUAAUUAGGAGUGGAUCGUCGAUUCGGAAGCCCCAUCAUCGAAAACAACUUAUGAGUACGAAGGCCCAAUACUCAUAGCACUCUAUAUAUAUAUAUAUAUAUAGAAUUGAGCUCCUAUGCUUUUAAAAGUCCCAAAUCAUUGGUGGCUUGUAGAUUUUGCGCCUUCGAUUAGAGUGUGCAGUUAGGAUAGAUAGUGGUCCCCUAGGUGGGUGGAUGGUUGGUCAAAUAAUAUGAUCAAACGAGUGGAAUGGUCAAAGGAAUAGAUCUAACGGCGGAAACUUACAAGUACCAAGUACUUGGUGCUUUUACUCUCUCUCUCUCUCUCUCUCCUCUCUCUCUCUCUCUCUCUCUCUUAUAUAGAAAUAAUAUUAUAUAUAUAUAUAUAUAUAUAGUCCGGCUACUAUACUCUUAUGAGUACAAUCGCCCUUGUACUCAUAAGUUGUUUUCGAUGUUAGAGCUUCCGAAUCGACAAUCCACACCAUUAAACAUUAUCUAGAGCAUUUAAAACGUCUAGAAAUCAAAUUUUAUAAUUUUUCAACAUCAUUUACCUUACGAUCAAAAGGUCACAAAAUUGACAAUUUUUAAUGGCCAGUAUUGAAUAUUUGCCAAUUUAACGGUGUAAAAAAAUCGAAAUCGGUUGAAUUUUUUACAGAAAAUUCUAUUCACUACAUAGAUAAAGAUCAAUAACUUCGAUCUUAAAUUGAAGGAUCCGAUCAUCUAUAACGGAGUGGAUCACUACUCUAGAUUCAAAUUUUAUACUCUUAUGAGUUUCAAAUACUCUAGAUCAUAUUUAACAGAGCGGAUUGUCGAUUCGGAAGCUCCAUCAUUGAAAACAACUUAUGAGUAUGAAGGGUUCUAUACUCAUAAGAGUAUAGUAGCCCUAGCCUAUAUAUAUAUAAGUUGAGCUAGAAUACUCUCAAAAGCACCAAGGGUAUGGUGCUUUUGAGUUUUUAGCCUUUGGAUAGAGAGAUGUAGGGUUGGGAUGAUGGUGGUAGGUGGUGGUAGGUAGAAUAGUGUUUGAUCCAACGGCUAUUAGUAAUUAAGAAGUAGAUCCAAGGGCUAGAAACCUAGAAGCACCAAGGGGUUGGUGCUUCUAAAAGUAUUCUAGCUCAAUUCAUAUAUAUAUAUACACACACAGACACAUAUCUAUAGAGAGUCUGGCUACUACGCUAUCAAUAGCAUCACGCGGUUGGUGCUACCAAGUUUUCCGCCGUUAGAUCUACCCCUUUGACGAUUUUCACUUAUUAGAUCAUACUAUUCAACCAACCACCUACUCAACCCUAGGGGACCACUAUCAUUCUAACCGCACAUCCCUUUAUCCAAGGGCUGAAAACCUAAUAGCACCAAUUACUUGUUGCUAUUAACAGUAUAGUAGCCUAGUUCUAUAUAUGUAAUAUACCGAAACCUCGGUAGGUUAUAUCGGACUUUAGUCAAAUUGAUCAAAGUGCGUCGAGAGAAAUAGUUGGACAAAAUCCAUUUGACAUUCCAACAAUGUUGGAAGGGUUAAAGUUGAGUUCCAAGUGAGAUAGAAGGGUUUUAGCAUUGCUCGACGCGAAAAGGAACCGAGCACUGCCAAAACUGCAGUCUGGGCACUGCUUAACCGGUGAAGCAUCAGGGCAGUACCGGUACCAGGCAGGCCACCUGAGAAGCCAGCUCUCGGGUUUGGCCUCUGUCAAGCUGCUUAACCGGUGAACCCGCGUACCGGUACCCCGCAGCAACCCGAGAACAGCAGCUCACGGGUUUGGGCUGUUGAACAGGGGCUUAACCGGUGACACCCACCCGCGUACCGAUACACAAUGCUGCGAACAGCAGGCUGGGUCUGCUGCAAAUAAAAAGAGUUGGAGGGUUUAUUUGUAAUUGUAACAGCCUAUAAAGACCCCACCACCCCCUCCUCUCUUGUUCACAGCAGUGAACACCUCCUCCUCUCUCAUUUUUCUCCCUCUCUCUCUCUAGGAGCUUUUGGAGGAGUUUGAAGGAAAGGCAUUGAAGGAGGAUUUGGUGGAGAAGAAAGCAAAGGAGUGAAGCAACUUCUUCUUCUUCUUCCUUAGCUCAAAAAAAGGAAAGCUCUUAAGGUAAGCUCCAUAAGCUCUCAUGGUAGAUGUCUAGGGCUUGGUUCAAAUGACCUAGAAAUGGUUUUAGUUGAAUCUCUAGUUGAUAUUAAGCUUGUUUUUGCUUUUUUUAGAGAUCAAUAUGGUGUAUGUUGCUAUAUGACAUGUUAGGGCACCAAAAUUGGGGCUUUUGUCAUAGAUGGGUUUAAAUGUAAAUUGACCUUAUAGAAACCUAAUUGAAGGUAUUUUCGACGCGUUGGUGGACUCGAUUCGAGGAUCCGACGAGUCUACGCAUAGGAAUUGAGGAAAAACCCCGUUUCGGCUUCGUUUGCCGCAAUCGGAAGAAAUAAGCGCCCAAAAAUCACGAAAAUUGAACCGUAGCACCUUGGUAAUCAUACGAGGUGGGUGGUGCUUUUCGAAAUCCUCGAAUCUCCUUUUAUGUCUAAAAUGUCAUUUCUUGAGCAUAUGUAUAUAUUGAGCUUCAUGCAUUGUACGGUGAUUGAGAGUUUGUUGUUGCAUGUUGUGAGUACGAAUGCAUAUGAGAUGAUUGUAAACUAAUGAGAACUUGUAAAACCCUAUGUAUGCAUGAAUGAUGAUAAGAAUCUAGAAAAGGCAAAGAAUCUAGUGACAUUGAAAACGAAUGACAUUAUGACAUCAAUAAUAGAGUGGCAUCAAUGAGUUUUGAAUGGUAAUGUACAAGUGUGGCAUUAACAAGAACAACAAAUACAAGAAUAUGAGACACUAGAUGUGUGGCAUGAGUAAGAACAUAGAAUGCAAGAACUUGAGAUAUUUGAUAAUCCUCAUAGUUGAGGCAACCUCAUAGAUAAGGUAUGAUUGAGCAUUGCAUCCUUCUAGUUAAGGAUUGGAUUAAACUUGACAUCCUUAAAGUUAAGGAUUGGAUCAUACUCACCUAUAAGUCUUGGCUUGAGGGUGGUAGCUCCCCCUCAAGCGAUGAGUUUCGGAGUGUCAUCACUGGGUUGGUGUUUUCCCCAGAGGACGGUCCAGUCGGGUUGUAGCGAAUAUCUCCCCGAUAUUAGGGAUUUGAGUUAGGGAGUCUAUUGAGGGCGAAACCUACAGGUUAGCCAAGAGAUUGAGUAAAGGAAUUGUGAUCUUGCAUGCAUCAUGAGCAUUCUAUUUGAGCAUAAUUGUUGAUUAUAUCUUGUUCAGGCAUAUUAGCUGCAUCUGUAUAGUUUGGUUACUAUCUAUCUGUUUAUUCUUCUAUUAUGUCUGAUUUAGACCUAGUGAGAAAGUCGGCGAGGUCGGCGGCUGAACCCACUGGAAACUUUGUUGUAGUUCUCAGACCACUAUUUUUCACAGAGUCGGGACCGAGUGAUCCGGCCGACGAUCGCGGUAAAGGUAUCGCACCAUAGACAGUGACUACCCGAGUCGGUUCAUACUUAUUUAGUUGCAUACCCUAUAUAUCAUCUUUUGUAUUUGAUGAUGUAGUAUUAUGAACAUGAUAAAUAAUGUAAAGAGAGCUUAUGGUUGAAUGUAAAAGGUUAUAUUUUGGGAAUAUGUGAUGUAUAAAAAAAAUGAUGGAAAAGAAUGUAAAAGAAUUCAAACGUUGAAUACAUGUAUGUGGUUAAAAGUUGAUCAUAUUACUUAUAUAUUGUUUAGUUUAGUACUUUUACUUUUGGCUAUUGUUUGCCCUCGUGCAAGCCAUGUAUAUCUUUAAAUUCAUAUAUACAUGAUCUGUACUUGUGUUGAGCCUUGGGCGAACAGGAGAAGUGCUGUCCGUUCGGCGUCUGUUCGACGUGCCCAAACCGACCAAAUGGGCCGGUCCCGAGGCGUGACAAUACAUACAUACAUACAUAUGUAUGUAUGUACAUACAUACAUAUAUGUGUAUAUACAUAUAUGUAUAUACAUAUAUAUAUAUAUAGAGUCCGACUACUAUACUCUUCUGAGUACGAUCGCCCUCGUACUCAUAAGUCGUUUUCGAUGAUAGAGCUUCCGAAUCGACGAUCCAGACCGUUAAACAUUUUGUAGAGCAUUUAAAACUUCUAGAAAUCAAAUUUCAUAAUUUUUCGACAUCAUUUACCUUGCGAUCAAAAGGUCACAAUUGACAAUUUUUAAGGUUGGUAUGAAAUACUUGCUAGUUUAACGGUGCAAAAGAAUCCGAAUAGGUUGAAUUUUUGAUGGAAAAUUCUAUUCACUACCUAGAUAAAGAUCAAUAACUCUGAUCUUAAAUUGAAGGAUCCGAUCAUCCAUUUUUAAGACGUCGUUCGAUUUUGACCGUUCAUUUUAUACCCGCUUGAUGGACAUUAUUAUGAUUUCG